RNAcentral lists this ribosomal RNA (745 nucleotides) under uncultured bacterium. Its description in RNAcentral is "bacterial SSU rRNA". It matches the Rfam family "Bacterial small subunit ribosomal RNA", at positions 33 to 773 of the family's 1533-position model. The record is from RNAcentral.
ACGCUGGCGGCAGGCCUAACACAUGCAAGUCGAGCGGUAGAGAGAAGCUUGCUUCUCUUGAGAGCGGCGGACGGGUGAGUAAUGCCUAGGAAUCUGCCUGGUAGUGGGGGAUAACGUUCGGAAACGGACGCUAAUACCGCAUACGUCCUACGGGAGAAAGCAGGGGACCUUCGGGCCUUGCGCUAUCAGAUGAGCCUAGGUCGGAUUAGCUAGUUGGUGGGGUAAUGGCUCACCAAGGCGACGAUCCGUAACUGGUCUGAGAGGAUGAUCAGUCACACUGGAACUGAGACACGGUCCAGACUCCUACGGGAGGCAGCAGUGGGGAAUAUUGGACAAUGGGCGAAAGCCUGAUCCAGCCAUGCCGCGUGUGUGAAGAAGGUCUUCGGAUUGUAAAGCACUUUAAGUUGGGAGGAAGGGUUGUAGAUUAAUACUCUGCAAUUUUGACGUUACCGACAGAAUAAGCACCGGCUAACUCUGUGCCAGCAGCCGCGGUAAUACAGAGGGUGCAAGCGUUAAUCGGAAUUACUGGGCGUAAAGCGCGCGUAGGUGGUUAGUUAAGUUGGAUGUGAAAUCCCCGGGCUCAACCUGGGAACUGCAUUCAAAACUGACUGACCAGAGUAUGGUAGAGGGUGGUGGAAUUUCCUGUGUAGCGGUGAAAUGCGUAGAUAUAGGAAGGAGCACCAGUGGCGAAGGCGACCGCCUGGACUGAUACUGACACUGAGGUGCGAAAGCGUGGGGAGCAAAC